Molecule: long non-coding RNA, 1839 nt
Organism: Solenopsis invicta (red fire ant)
Lineage: Eukaryota; Metazoa; Arthropoda; Insecta; Hymenoptera; Formicidae
Exons: 2
Source: RefSeq, a predicted model, not a curated record
AAAAAUGAUAUUGUCAUUCCUUUUGAAAAGUAGAAUUAUAUAACAAGAAGAAUAUGAGGUAUUUUUGGGUGUCUAAAAAUCCACUUUUUUUAAAAAAAAUCAUUUUUGCAACAAACAACUUUUAAAGUGUCAUACUUUCUAAAAAAUUAUGUCACUGCUAUUUCUAUUAAAAAAUAUAUUUACGUAACAAGGUAAAUAUGAGGUAUUUUUCAUAAACUGGUGUCUAAAAUUGAAAAUUGAUGUGUUUCAUAAUAUAUUUUGGACCCUACGCAAAAAUCUUCUCUCUCACGGCACUAUAGUAUUUUAAUUUUAGACAGAGUAAUAUACGCGAAUGGACCUGUUUGAACGUGUUUUGUCCAGUUUUUUUUACAUAAGAUUACUCACAAAAAAGUUUCGUUCAUUCACUAUAUGGAUCGCAUUUACCUUAACAAAACUUUGCUGCCUUGUUGUUCGAAUUCUAAUUGACCGAAAAGUUGAUCAACCAUAUCAAUCGAAAGAGAUUUUAAACUUUUUUUACGUCCUGGUCCGAGCCUUCUAUCUCAUUCCGUCUUCACACAACAAGCGUUUGAAACUUCAUAUGGAGUCUCUCAGACCCACUUAUGUGUUUAAGGGUUAGUAUAAUCCAAAGUGCACCGUAUUAGAUCAUACGAAGAGAUAACUGAUCUACAAUUCAAUGCUACAUAUCCUGAUCACAAUUUUAUUUCUAAAUCCACCGUUCAGAAGACAGUGAUACGUUUUUACGAAAUAAAAACAGUUAAAGACCAAAAUCUUCUCUUCUCAUAACUCUAAAAUAUAUCUAGCAUAACUCAAAGUGUACCACGAGGUUGCCUGGCCGCCCUGUUGAAAAAGUCCAAUUCCAUUUAAUAUCAUACCAAUUUCAAUAAAAUUCUAUAUUCAUGAUAUAUAAUUAAUCUAACUGAAAUAACUAAAUAAAAAGCUAUUAGAUUUGGUUAGAUUUAAUCAAACAACGAGAACAAUUUGGGAUUAAUAUAUUAUAAUAAGAAAUUUCUGACCAGGUUUUAUCAUUUCGUAUCGUUUUGAAUAGGAUGUGAUUUCUUUAGGUUUAUACAUACAUAUAUGUACACCCAGCGACUUUGAUUCUGUCCAUGGGGAAAUUUUCCAAACUAAGAAGUCACCAUCCUUCUACAUACUCGCAAUUCAUGAUUAACGUAACGUCAGGCUUACGAUCGAUCCCGGCCGCUUACGACCGCAUUUGACACAAUUUGACAUAAGGUUAAGUAAUUUGACAUGAGGUUAAAUAAUUUGAGAUUUGCGACUUGAAUUCACUGGGCAAGAAGAUACUGACGAAAUCUCAGAUCUGGCUGCAGUGCAACAAGUGUAAAUACACCACGCAUCAUGAUUCCUUUAUGAUGCAAUUUUUUUAUUAUAAUUCUUUUCCUUAAAUUACAUUUAAUGAAAGUAUGCAUUAUUCAAACAACGACGGUUGUUUACGAAGUAACAUACGAUUAAAAGGAAUAACAAUUAGCAAUAUAAAUAAAAUUGAAAGAGCGAAACUGCGAUUUUUCCAACAGUGAGUCAAUUGACAUCGAUGUAUUGUCAACAUGACACAGCUUUGAUCAGCAAAAUAAACAUCAUUGCGAGUGUCAUGCGGAAAUUCAAUUAAAGCAACCAAAUGUAAUACUAAAGUGCCUUUGAUUUUUGCACAGUUAAUCAAACCAGGCACCGGCACGGACCAGUAUCCAGUGUGUUGUUCGUUGGUGAUGUCAUAUUUUCUGAAAAAUAUAAUUUGUAAUUAAUAAAUAAUUAUAUCCAUUGUUAAUGAAUUAAUUUUGUUAAAUAGAAAAAUUUGUUAUAAUAAAUUUAUCCGUUGAUUCUAAA